AGCGAACGCUGGCGGCAGGCUUAACACAUGCAAGUCGAGCGGGCACUUUCGGGUGUCAGCGGCGGACGGGUGCGUAACGCGUGGGAACGUGCCCUCUGGUUCGGAAUAACUCAGGGGAACUUUGACUUAUAACGGGAUAGCCCCUUUUGGGGAAAGGCUUCAUUCGGGAGGUUCGGCCCGCGUCGGAUUAGCUGUUUGUUGGGGUAAGGGCACACCAAGGCGACGUUAAGUAGUGGGGCAGUGAGGAUGAUCAGCCACACUGGGACGGAGACACGGCCCAGACUCCUACGGGAGGGAGCAGUGGGGAAUAUUGGACAAUGGGCGCAAGCCUGAUCCAGCCAUGCCGCGUGAGUGAUGAAGGCCUUAGGGUUGUAAAGCUCUUUUAUCCGGGACGAUAAUGACGGUACCGGAGGAAUAAGCCCCGGCUAACUUCGUG
Molecule: ribosomal RNA, 436 nt
Filed under: uncultured bacterium
Lineage: Bacteria
Description: partial 16S ribosomal RNA
Rfam family: Bacterial small subunit ribosomal RNA
Source: RNAcentral